Molecule: ribosomal RNA, 397 nt
Filed under: uncultured bacterium
Lineage: Bacteria
Description: partial 16S ribosomal RNA
Rfam family: Bacterial small subunit ribosomal RNA
Source: RNAcentral
AUACGUAGGGGGCGAGCGUUGUCCGGAAUGAUUGGGCGUAAAGGGCGCGUAGGCGGCCCGGUAAGUCUGGAGUGAAAGUCCUGUUUUUAAGAUGGGAAUUGCUUUGGAUACUGUCGGGCUUGAGUGCAGGAGAGGUAAGUGGAAUUCCCAGUGUAGCGGUGAAAUGCGUAGAGAUUGGGAGGAACACCAGUGGCGAAGGCGACUUACUGGACUGUAACUGACGCUGAGGCGCGAAAGUGUGGGGAGCGAACAGGAUUAGAUACCCUGGUAGUCCACGCGGUAAACGAUGAAUGCUAGGUGUAGGGGGUAUCGACCCCUUCUGGGCCGGAGUAAACGCAAUAAGCAUUCCGCCUGGGGAGUACGGCCGCAAGGUUGAAACUCAAAUGAAUUGACGGGG